UCAGGCCUAACACAUGCAAGUCGAGCGGCAGCGGGAAAGUAGCUUGCUACUUUUGCCGGCGAGCGGCGGACGGGUGAGUAAUGCCUGGGAAAUUGCCCAGUCGAGGGGGAUAACAGUUGGAAACGACUGCUAAUACCGCAUACGCCCUACGGGGGAAAGCAGGGGACCUUCGGGCCUUGCGCGAUUGGAUAUGCCCAGGUGGGAUUAGCUAGUUGGUGAGGUAAUGGCUCACCAAGGCGACGAUCCCUAGCUGGUCUGAGAGGAUGAUCAGCCACACUGGAACUGAGACACGGUCCAGACUCCUACGGGAGGCAGCAGUGGGGAAUAUUGCACAAUGGGGGAAACCCUGAUGCAGCCAGGCCGCGUGUGUGAAGAAGGCCUUCGGGUUGUAAAGCAAAUGAGCGAGGAGGAAAGGUCAGUAGCUAAUAUCUG
Molecule: ribosomal RNA, 432 nt
Filed under: uncultured bacterium
Lineage: Bacteria
Description: bacterial SSU rRNA
Rfam family: Bacterial small subunit ribosomal RNA
Source: RNAcentral